RNAcentral lists this transfer RNA (67 nucleotides) under Eudiscopus denticulus (Disk-footed bat). RNAcentral's name for it is "tRNA-Asp". The record is from RNAcentral. Lineage: Eukaryota; Metazoa; Chordata; Mammalia; Chiroptera; Vespertilionidae.
AAGAUACUAGUAAAAUUUACAUAACUUUGUCAAAGUUAAAUUACAGGUGGAAAUCCUGUGUGUCUUU